GGAGGAAUAUUGCGCAAUGGGGGAAACCCUGACGCAGCAACGCCGCGUGGGUGAAGAAGGCCUUCGGGUCGUAAAGCCCUUUCGGACGGGACGAAAUUUUCGCGGGGACAAGCCGCGAAAACUGACGGUACCGUAAGAAGAAGCACCGGCUAACUCCGUGCCAGCAGCCGCGGUAAUACGGAGGGUGCAAGCGUUGUUCGGAAUUACUGGGCGUAAAGCGCGUGUAGGCGGCUUUGCAAGUCAGAUGUGAAAGCCCUCGGCUUAACCGGGGAAGUGCAUCUGAAACUGCUUUGCUUGAGUACGGGAGAGGGAGGCGGAAUUCCCAGUGUAGAGGUGAAAUUCGUAGAUAUUGGGAGGAACACCGGUGGCGAAAGCGGCCUCCUGGACCGAUACUGACGCUGAGACGCGAAAGCGUGGGGAGCAAACAGGAUUAGAUACCCUGGUAGUCCACGCUGUAAACGAUGGGCACUAGGUGUGGGGGGUAUCCACUCCUCCCGUGCCGAAGCUAAAGCAUUAAGUGCCCCGUCCU
RNAcentral lists this ribosomal RNA (529 nucleotides) under uncultured bacterium. RNAcentral describes it as "bacterial SSU rRNA". It matches the Rfam family "Bacterial small subunit ribosomal RNA", at positions 355 to 873 of the family's 1533-position model. The record is from RNAcentral.